RNA transcript from Brassica napus (rape), 3139 nucleotides. RefSeq lists it as uncharacterized. Lineage: Eukaryota; Viridiplantae; Streptophyta; Magnoliopsida; Brassicales; Brassicaceae. The record is from RefSeq and is a predicted model, not a curated record. The transcript is spliced from 7 exons.
AUCUUCCAACACUGAAGAAAGACAGAACUGCGCUUGUAGAAAGCUGUGAGUUUUGGGCUCUGUUGUAGUUGUUUUUUUUUUGUUGUAAUAAUGGAGAAGAUAGUGAGAUGCGUCCGGUGGGGUUAUGAGGUUAAUGCCUCUUCCGAUGAUUAAUGCAUGAACGCAAUUGACUCCUAUUUUCAACAGGUUCUUAGUUAUGGGAGGAACAUGAAAGUGAUUCUUGAAGCACCACUACACGACAAAGAUUGUGUUUUGGGGAACAUUUUAGCUGCUCAUUACCUUUCCUCAUGUGAUCCUUCCAAAGUUAAUCUCUACGUUAAAUCUGCGUCUAGUAAACUUGAACGCUCUACACCUUAUGAGAAAGCCGUUUUCGAGACUGUUACUUACUUGAUUUCAGAGGACAAGGAUGACGACUUGGCUUUUGAAAUGCACAUCGAGCUACUUAAAAGAUUCCCAAAGGACUUGGUCUAUCUGAAGAGAGCUCAGGUUUUAAGUUUCCAGAUGGCUAAGCCUGUUCCCUUUUUGAAUCUUGUUCAGCAGGUUCUACCUGAGAAUCAAGAUGAAAGUUAUAUACACGGUAUGCUUGCGUUCCCAUUGUUAGAACUUGGUCGAAUGGAAGAAGCCGCAGCUGCUUCCAGAAAAGGCUAUGGGAUAAACAAAGAAGACGCCUUGGCACAUCACUGCGUGAGUUGUUUCAAACAAGUUGACAUCUCAUUCAGCAUUUUAGGGUUUUCUUUUUCUUGUAAAGAUUUAACUUUGUUUGUUGCAGUUUUGUCAUGUUCUUCAACAUAAAUGUCAUUUUAAAGAAGCAGUGGAGUUCAUGGAAGAACUGGCAGAAUAUUGACUUUCUUGCACAUCAUUCUUGUGUACACACAAUUGGUGGCAUGUUGCCCUCUGUUACUUGGAAGGAGGGUCACCAAUGAGUAAAGUGAAGGAGAUUUAUGAUAAUCACAUCUGGAAAGAACUGGAGAAAGAGGACGCCAUUCCUCCAGAGGUUUAUCUCAAUGCUCUGGGUUUGUUCUUGCGUUUGGAUGUAAGAGAUGUUCUUGAUGGUUUUAAAGACCGUCUGGAACUCCUUGCUGCUCGUUUAACUGAUCAGGUAAGCCAUGCACUAGUAGGAUGACAUGUGUUCUUUUUCUCCAUAGGGUUUUUAUUGAUAUGUCGAAAUGAUUAGUUUUUUUCUCGGCCACAUGUGUGGUUUAACAUUUCAGGCAAACUGGUAUUUGGACUGGCAGCUAGACGGCUGCAGGACCUUCUCAACAUGAGAUAGGUGCAGGACAUUCUCAGACUGCUGCAGGACCUUCUCAGGCUGCUGCAGGACCUUCUCAGACGGCUGCAGGACCUUCUCAGGAUGCUGCAGGACCUUCUCAAGGGACCAGUAAUCCUCCAAUUCAACUCAUCCCAGCGAUCACAAGGAAGAAAACGGAUUUUCGGCUUCUUCCACACCCGGCUCCUUAGUCAUCCUGAGCUGGAACUGUUGUGGGUUGGGGAACCCCAUAACAGUCCAGCGCCUCAAACGGAUCCAAAGGAAAAACAACCCUGAUAUUGUUUUCCUCAUGGAGACCAAAAACCCCCACAGAGAUGGUGUGCAAGGAACUGGAGUGGCUUCAAGCUAACAACUAUUUUGCAGUUCCACCGCAUUCACCAGGAGGAGGAGGUCUGUUUCUAUCCUGGAAAAAAGACAUUGAUCUUCAGGUCUUAUCAUCAUCACACAGUUAUAUAGAUGCUACAAUCAUCUACAAAGGCAAAUCCUUCCACACUACUUUCGUUUAUGGGGAGCCAGACCAAUCUAAAAGAUAUCAAGUGUGGUGCUCUCUCUCAUCACUACAGCCGGUUUCUGUAAUUCCUUGGCUUUUAACAGGAGAUUUUAACGAGAUAGUAGAUAACAGUGAGAAAUGUGGAGGACCAGAACGAGCAGAAGGAACAUUUUGUGCUUUUAGAUCAUUUCUUUCUAAGAAUGGUCUAUUUGAUCUAAAGUUCUCGGGAAGAUACCUAUCAUGGAGGGGGAAGAGACACUCGCAUCUGGUGCUGUGCAGGCUUGACCGAUCUGUUAGCAAUAGUGAGUGGACUGAGCUAUUCCCAUCGAGCAGAAACCAGUAUCUGAAGUUUGAAGGUUCUGAUCAUAGGCCCCUGCUGACGUUUCUCGAUACAUCAAGGAAAAAGAGUGCAAAAAUUUUCAGAUACGACAGGAGGCUAAAUGAUAAUUUGGAAAUUAAAGAUCUUAUCAAGGAAAUUUGGGAGAAGAGUCCACACCUCUCUGUUGAGGACAGGCUUACGCUCUGUCGGCGAGCCAUUUGCACAUGGAGUAAACAGUUUCACGAAAAUAGCCAAAAAGCCCUCGAGGAGACAAGAGAACAGCUGGGGUCUGCAAUGUCAAGUCCCAGUCCUGAUGAAGAAUUAAUCCAUGGAUUAAACCUGAGACUACUGCACUUGUACAAAGCCGAAGAAAGCUUCUGGAAACAGAGAAGCAGACAGUUAUGGUUAGUUCUUGGGGACUCAAACUCGGGUUAUUUUCAUGCGGUGGCUAAAGGGAGAUCAGCUAAGAAUAGGUUCUCAGUGAUAACUAACAAAAAUGGUGUACCUGUCUUUGAAAAAGAAGAAAUAUCCAAAGUUAUCUCUGCUUAUUACUCUGACUUGUUUCAAUCAAGUGCUUUCGACGGUCAACAUACAAUAGCUGAAGCACUUCAACCCUGCAUCUCUGAAACACAAAAUAUCAUGCUCACAAGAAUGCCGCAGUCAAAGGAAAUUAAGGAAGCUACCUUUGCUAUCCAUGCUGACAAGGCUCCAGGCCCUGAUGGGUUUUCAGCUGGUUUUUUCCAAUCUAAUUGGGAGAUCAUUGGCUCAGCAGUCAUAAAAGAGAUCCAGGGAUUCUUCUCAACCGGCAUCCUCGCACCAUCGAUCAACAAAACACAUGUGAGAUUAAUACCUAAGAUCACAGGGGCACAGAAAGUGGAGGACUACAGACCUAUUGCACUUUGUAAUAUCUACUACAAGAUUACUCCAAACUACUGUCCCUAAGGUUAAAAUCGGUGCUAAGCUCUAUAGUGUCGGAAAAUCAAUCAGCUUUUAUUCCUGGAAGGGCUAUAGCAGACAAUGUAUUGAUUACUCAUGAGGUUCUACAGAUUCUAAAGACAUCAAA